ACAGACAGACAGACAGACAGACAGACAGAGAGAGAGAGAGAGAGAGAGAGAGAGAGAGAGAGAGAGAGAGAGAGAGAAUGGAGGAAAAGAAAGAAAGACAGAAGGAAAGAAAGUAGAAGGUCGAGAGGUAAGUCUGGAUCGCUGUGUCUUGGUUUGGUAUGAGAGGCUUCCAGGUAGUCUUGUCUGUCUCUGGUUAUGACGAAGUACUGAGCUAAGGAUAUUUUUUGAGGGCUGAACAACUUUGAUAGAGAGGCUGUUGGCUUGGGAAGGUCUUGAUUUGCUGUCAGAGGUCUUGAGGUGGUCUUGAUAUCUCUGGUUGUGGGUGUUUCAAGGUGUUGGUGUUGAGCUAAGGAUGUUUUUUAAGGGCUGAGCAACUUCAAUUGAGAGGGUAUUGGUUUAGGAAGGUCUUCAGGUCAGUGUUGCCAGAUCCUCCCGCUCAGCCUCCUCCAUUUACCAAUAUCCGACCCCAAAACUGCCUUUCUGCACCCCGACAACGAGAUUAAUUUGUAUGUAUCGUUAAAGUGGUUAUUGAGUGAUGUUUUUUGGUUACAGUUAUGGGUCAGAAAAUGGUAAAUAAGAGUCUCUGAGAAGGACAAUCUGGCAUCGUUGCUUCAGGUAGUCUCGAUAUCUGUGGCUACGGCAAGGUGUUGGUUAUACACUAAGGAGGUUUUACAGCAGAGAGCUAAACAACUUUGAUUUAGAGACUGUCUUGGUUUGCUGUCAGAGGCCUGGAGGUGGUCUUGAUAUCUCUGGCUAUAGCAAGGUCUCAAGGAUUAGCUAUUUCUCUUGCUGUAAAAUAAAGAGAAAAGAAAAAGAAGAGUUUGUGUUGCACUGAGGAGGUGUUACGCUGGAUGGCUGAACACCUUUGAUUCAGAGGCUGUUUGUAAGGUCUUGUGUUGCCAUCAGAGGCCUUGAGGUGGUCUUGAUGUCUGUCUCUCUCUGUUUCAAGGUGUUGGUAUUAAGCAAGGGAUGUUUUUUGAGGGCUGAACAACUUUGAUUUAGAGGCUGUUGUCUUGGGAAGGUCUUGGUGUGUUGGGUAAGGAGCUAAACACCUUUGAUGGGAGGUUGUCGGGAAGAUGAAGAAGCAAAGCAGGAUAUAUGACAAUAGAGAGAAGGGAAGUAGGAUUGUUGAGGUGCCAGCAGCAGAGAAUACGGCACUGGAUGAUCUUGGUGCCAAAGCCUUGCAGUAGAGGUGAACGAGGUGCCUGGAACGGAGAAUGUGGUUGAGUGUAGUGAUUGGUUUCGUAGUAGAGGAUUUUAGGUGCCAG
Eriocheir sinensis (Chinese mitten crab) is the source of this 1268-nucleotide long non-coding RNA. RefSeq lists it as uncharacterized. The record is from RefSeq and is a predicted model, not a curated record. The transcript has 2 exons. Lineage: Eukaryota; Metazoa; Arthropoda; Malacostraca; Decapoda; Varunidae.